RNAcentral lists this non-coding RNA (165 nucleotides) under Inquilinus limosus. The record is from RNAcentral. Lineage: Bacteria; Pseudomonadati; Pseudomonadota; Alphaproteobacteria; Rhodospirillales; Rhodospirillaceae.
GUAGCAUUUACGAAAUGCCUCGGAAAAGGGAACGCGGGAUGGCCGACCUUCGGCCUGAUCCGCGGCUGCCCCCGCAACUGUAGGCGGCGAGCCCACCUCCGACAGCCACUGGCCGAUGGCCGGGAAGGCGGGGGCAGGCGACGACCCGCGAGCCAGGAGACCUGC